This is a non-coding RNA of Cinara cedri, 385 nucleotides long. The record is from the annotation of a GenBank genome assembly. Lineage: Eukaryota; Metazoa; Arthropoda; Insecta; Hemiptera; Aphididae.
GUUUUCAUCAUGGUGUAAUAAUAAUUAUUAAUAAUUAAUAAAAGAAAAUAAAUAUUAUUCUGAGGUUAUAUUAGAUUCUAUCUAUAGCCAUGGUUUUCACAAUGCUUCCCCAUGAUAUCAUUUACUAAUAUCUUCUAAGACCGUAGACUAGAGAAUAGGACUAAGUAAGUUAAGAGGAUUGAAAGCGACCAGUUUCUGUCUUUGUCUUACACACGUGAGAUAUAGGGAUUUAGAUGUGUUUUAAUUCCAAAGUACCGAUUGAUCUAGUGAAGGGAUAAGAAUUCUAAAAAUGGAUUCGAAUUUGUCGUGAAGUCUAUUUGAGAUCAACUUUCUCACUUUUUAAAGUUAUCUCCUUAAAUUCUAAAAAAAGUCACACUAGUUAAAG